AUGGUUUCCCUGCUGAUGCCGCUGCUGGGCAGAUUGGGCGCCAAGGCUGUCGAAGCGCUGGUGGUGGAGCUUUUGCGGGCGUGGGGGCUGGACAAGGCCCGCCGGAGGCUGGAGCGCCACCUCUCUGCCAUCCAAUGCGUCCUGCUGGGCGCCGAGGCCAAGAGCCACACAAACCCCGCUGUCCGCCGGUGGAUGACAGACCUGAAGACCGCCGCCUACCAAGCCGACGACGUCCUUGAUGACUUCCGCUAUGAGGCGCUGCGCCGCCGUGCUGCCCAGAUCCGCCCCCACUCCAUGGCGCACAAGGUGAUUAGCUACUUCACCGCUAAUAGCCCGGUUGUUUUCCAUCUCUCCAUGAGCCGGAAGAUGAAGGGUGCACUUGAAAUCAUAGAUCAACUGGUUGUGGAGAUGAACAAUUUCCACUUCCCGCAGCAUGCCGAGGCACCGCACGCCGACCAUCCGCAAACACACUCUUGUGUUGAUGAAUCAGAGAUUAUCGGUAGACAGGAUGACAAGGAACUAGUGGUGAAAACGUUGCUCGAGCAGUCCAACAACAACAGUAACAAUAACAAUGUCGUGGUACUCCCUAUAGUUGGUAUGGGGGGAAUUGGUAAGACUACACUUGCCCAGCUUGUGCACAAUGAUCAGAGGGUGAACCAUCAUUUUGAGUUGGUCAUAUGGGUUUGUGUCUCGGAUAAGUUUGUUAUCGAAGAAAUUAUACGGUCUAUAGUACAAGUGGCCACAAUGAAUAAGUGCGGUGCCUCGGCGUGCGGAAUCAAGACCUAA
This 786-nucleotide ribosomal RNA is filed under the name Triticum aestivum (bread wheat). RNAcentral's name for it is "partial small subunit ribosomal RNA". The record is from RNAcentral. Lineage: Eukaryota; Viridiplantae; Streptophyta; Magnoliopsida; Poales; Poaceae.